UGGGGAAUAUUGCACAAUGUGCGCAAGCCUGAUGCAGCCAUGCCGCGUGUAUGAAGAAGGCCUUCGGGUUGUAAAGUACUUUCAGCGGGGAGGAAGGGAGUAAAGUUAAUACCUUUGCUCAUUGACGUUACCGACAGAAGAAGCACCGGCUAACUCCGUUCCAGCAGCCGCGGUAAUACGGAGGGUGCAAGCGUUAAUCGGAAUUACUGGGCGUAAAGUGCACGCAGGCGGUUGAUUGAGUCAGAUGUGAAAUCCCCGGGCUUAACCCGGGAAUUGCAUCUGAUACUGGUCAGAUAGAGUCUUGUAGAGGGGGGUAGAAUUCCAUGUGUAGCGGUGAAAUGCGUAGAGAUGUGGAGGAAUAACGGUGGCGAAGGCAGCCCCCUGGACAAAGACUGACGCUCAGGUGCGAAAGCGUGGGGAGCAAACAGG
RNAcentral lists this ribosomal RNA (429 nucleotides) under Chloroflexota bacterium. RNAcentral's name for it is "Chloroflexi bacterium partial 16S ribosomal RNA". It matches the Rfam family "Bacterial small subunit ribosomal RNA", at positions 355 to 776 of the family's 1533-position model. The record is from RNAcentral. Lineage: Bacteria; Bacillati; Chloroflexota.